Molecule: unclassified non-coding RNA, 188 nt
Filed under: soil metagenome
Description: partial internal transcribed spacer 1
Source: RNAcentral
CAGAGUUGCAAAACUCCCACAAACCAUCGCGAAUCUUACCCGUACGGUUGCCUCGGCGCUGGCGGUCCGGAAGGCCCUCGGGCCCCCCGGAUCCUCGGGUCUCCCGCUCGCGGGAGGCUGCCCGCCGGAGUGCCGAAACCAAACUCUUGAUAUUUUAUGUCUCUCUGAGUAAACUUUUAAGUAAGUCA